Molecule: ribosomal RNA, 462 nt
Filed under: uncultured bacterium
Lineage: Bacteria
Description: partial 16S ribosomal RNA
Rfam family: Bacterial small subunit ribosomal RNA
Source: RNAcentral
GACGAACGCUGGCGGCGUGCUUAACACAUGCAAGUCGAGCGGAAAGGCCCUUCGGGGUACUCGAGCGGCGAACGGGUGAGUAACACGUGAGUAACCUGCCCCAGACUUUGGGAUAACCCUCGGAAACGGGGGCUAAUACCGGAUACGACACAGCUUCGCAUGGGGUCUGUGUGGAAAGUUUUUCGGUUUGGGAUGGGCUCGCAGCCUAUCAGCUUGUUGGUGGGGUGAUGGCCUACCAAGGCGACGACGGGUAGCCGGCCUGAGAGGGCGACCGGCCACACUGGGACUGAGACACGGCCCAGACUCCUACGGGAGGCAGCAGUGGGGAAUAUUGCACAAUGGGCGGAAGCCUGAUGCAGCGACGCCGCGUGAGGGAUGACGGCCUUCGGGUUGUAAACCUCUUUCAGCAGGGACGAAGCGUAAGUGACGGUACCUGCAGAAGAAGCGCCGGCCAACUACGUG